UGCCAGCAGCCGCGGUAAUACGGAGGAUCCAAGCGUUAUCCGGAAUCAUUGGGUUUAAAGGGUCCGCAGGCGGUUUUUUAAGUCAGAGGUGAAAUCCUACAGCUCAACUGUAGAAUUGCCUUUGAAACUGAAAGACUUGAGUUAUUGUGAAGUGGUUAGAAUGUGUGGUGUAGCGGUGAAAUGCAUAGAUAUCACACAGAAUACCAAUUGCGAAGGCAGAUCACUAACAAUUAACUGACGCUCAGGGACGAAAGCGUGGGUAGCGAACAGGAUUAGAUA
Molecule: ribosomal RNA, 279 nt
Filed under: uncultured bacterium
Lineage: Bacteria
Description: partial 16S ribosomal RNA
Rfam family: Bacterial small subunit ribosomal RNA
Source: RNAcentral